Molecule: ribosomal RNA, 434 nt
Filed under: Periplaneta lateralis (Turkestan cockroach)
Lineage: Eukaryota; Metazoa; Arthropoda; Insecta; Blattodea; Blattidae
Description: Shelfordella lateralis (Turkestan cockroach) partial 16S ribosomal RNA
Source: RNAcentral
CUUUUCUUGUAUUUGAUAUGAAAUAUGACCUGCCCACUGAAGUUGAUUGAAGGGCCGCGGUAUUUUGACCGUGCAAAGGUAGCAUAAUCAUUAGUCUUUUAAUUGUGGACUGGAAUGAAUGGUUGGACGAGGAAUAGACUGUUUCUUAUUAUUUUUAUUGAAUUUAAUUUUUAAGUUAAAAAGCUUAAAUUUAUUUAUGGGACGAGAAGACCCUAUAGAGUUUAUAUAUAUUAUUUAUUUAUUUUGUUUGAUUUUUAUUUUUAAAUAUUUAAUAUAUUUUGUUGGGGUGAUGGGAAGAUUUAAUUAACUCUUCUUUUUUUAUAUACAUUUAUUUAUGAGUGGUUGAUCCAAUUUUGUUGAUUAUAAGAUUAAAUUACCUUAGGGAUAACAGCGUAAUCUUUUUUGAGAGUUCUUAUUGAUAAAUGGGUUUGCGA